GACGAACGCUGGCGGCGUGCUUAACACAUGCAAGUCGAACGAGUGGCGAACGGGUGAGUAAGACGUGGGUAAACUUCCUUGCCCUACGGGAUAAGGUGGGGAAACUGGUUGUAAUACCGGAUAGUGCAAGAUGGGCGCGGGGCCUGUCAGCUGGUUGGUGGGGUAAUGGCUACCAGGGGGCGACUGGUAGACCGCAUGAGAGGGGGUACGGGCACAUGGGGGCUGAGAGACGGGGCAGACGCCGAUGGGGGGCAGCGGUGGAGAAUAUUGCCCACUGGGGGGAAGCGUGAUGCAGCGACGCCGCGUGGGGGAGGAAGGGCUUCGGGGUGUAAACUCCUUUUGACAGGGACGCGGUACCUGUAGAAGAAGCACCGGCUAACUACGUGCCAGCAGCCGCGGUAAUUC
Molecule: ribosomal RNA, 405 nt
Filed under: uncultured bacterium
Lineage: Bacteria
Description: partial 16S ribosomal RNA
Rfam family: Bacterial small subunit ribosomal RNA
Source: RNAcentral